CGGGUGAGUAACACGUGGAUAACCUACCUAUAAGACUGGGAUAACUUCGGGAAACCGGAGCUAAUACCGGAUGAUAUUUUGAACCGCAUGGUUCAAAAGUGAAAGACGGUCUUGCUGUCACUUAUAGAUGGAUCCGCGCUGCAUUAGCUAGUUGUAAGGUAACGGCUUACCAAGGCAACGAUGCAUAGCCGACCUGAGAGGGUGAUCGGCCACACUGGAACUGAGACACGGUCCAG
This 236-nucleotide ribosomal RNA is filed under the name uncultured Staphylococcus sp. Its description in RNAcentral is "partial 16S ribosomal RNA". It matches the Rfam family "Bacterial small subunit ribosomal RNA", at positions 103 to 334 of the family's 1533-position model. Lineage: Bacteria; Bacillati; Bacillota; Bacilli; Caryophanales; Staphylococcaceae. The record is from RNAcentral.